RNAcentral lists this transfer RNA (70 nucleotides) under Neotoma lepida (desert woodrat). It matches the Rfam family "tRNA". Rfam says of the family: Transfer RNA (tRNA) molecules are approximately 80 nucleotides in length. Their secondary structure includes four short double-helical elements and three loops (D, anti-codon, and T loops). Further hydrogen bonds mediate the characteristic L-shaped molecular structure. tRNAs have two regions of fundamental functional importance: the anti-codon, which is responsible for specific mRNA codon recognition, and the 3' end, to which the tRNAs corresponding amino acid is attached (by aminoacyl-tRNA synthetases). tRNAs cope with the degeneracy of the genetic code in two manners: having more than one tRNA (with a specific anti-codon) for a particular amino acid; and 'wobble' base-pairing, i.e. permitting non-standard base-pairing at the 3rd anti-codon position. Lineage: Eukaryota; Metazoa; Chordata; Mammalia; Rodentia; Cricetidae. The record is from Rfam by way of RNAcentral.
GGAGAGAUGGCUCAGCGGUUAAGAGCACUGGCUGCUCUUCCAGAGGACCUGGGUUCAAUUCCUAGCACCA